GACGAACGCUGGCGGCGUGCUUAACACAUGCAAGUCGAGCGAGGCCCUCCUUCGGGGGGUGCCCUAGCGGCGAACGGGUGAGUAACACGUGGGCAACCUGCCCUCAGCUCUGGGAUAACUCCAAGAAAUUGGUGCUAAUACCGGAUGUGACCGCUGACCGCAUGGUCUGGUGGUGGAAAGAUUCAUCGGCUGAGGAUGGGCCCGCGGCCUAUCAGCUUGUUGGGGGGUGAUGGCCUACCAAGGCGACGACGGGUAGCCGGCCUGAGAGGGUGACCGGCCACACUGGGACUGAGACACGGCCCAGACUCCUACGGGAGGCAGCAGUGGGGAAUA
RNAcentral lists this ribosomal RNA (333 nucleotides) under uncultured bacterium. Its description in RNAcentral is "bacterial SSU rRNA". It matches the Rfam family "Bacterial small subunit ribosomal RNA", at positions 28 to 363 of the family's 1533-position model. The record is from RNAcentral.